RNAcentral lists this unclassified non-coding RNA (412 nucleotides) under soil metagenome. Its description in RNAcentral is "partial contains 5.8S ribosomal RNA, internal transcribed spacer 2, and large subunit ribosomal RNA". The stretch from base 1 to 120 matches the Rfam family "5.8S ribosomal RNA", at positions 35 to 154 of the family's 154-position model. The record is from RNAcentral.
GAUGAAGAACGCAGCGAAAUGCGAUAAGUAAUGUGAAUUGCAGAAUUCAGUGAAUCAUCGAAUCUUUGAACGCACCUUGCGCUCUUUGGUAUUCCGAAGAGCAUGCCUGUUUGAGUGUCAUGAAAAUAUCAACCUUGACUUGGGUUUUGUGCUCUAGUCUCGGAUGGAAUUGGGUGCUUGCCGCUUUUACGAGCGGCUCACCUUAAAUGUAUUAGCUGGAUCUGUCUUUGAGACUUGGUUUGACUUGGCGUAAUAAGUAUUUCGCUAAGGACAUUCUUCGGAGUGGCCUCGUUUCUAGGACGCUUGUCCGCUUUCCAAUACAAGUUCCACCUCGUGGACAUGACUUUUUAUUAUCUGGCCUCAAAUCAGGUAGGACUACCCGCUGAACUUAAGCAUAUCAAUAAGCGGAGAA